AGACUCCUACGGGGCGCAGCAGUGAGGAAUAUUGGUCAAUGGUCGGGAGACUGAACCAGCCAAGCCGCGUGAGGGAUGAAGGUACAGAGUAUCGUAAACCUCUUUUGUCAGGGAACAAAGGCGGGGACGUGUCCCCGGAUGAGUGUACCUGAAGAAAAAGCAUCGGCUAACUCCGUGCCAGCAGCCGCGGUAAUACGGAGGAUGCGAGCGUUAUCCGGAUUUAUUGGGUUUAAAGGGUGCGCAGGCGGCCUGUUAAGUCAGCGGUAAAAGCCCGGGGCUCAACCCCGGCGAGCCGUUGAAACUGG
RNAcentral lists this ribosomal RNA (305 nucleotides) under uncultured bacterium. RNAcentral describes it as "bacterial SSU rRNA". It matches the Rfam family "Bacterial small subunit ribosomal RNA", at positions 333 to 636 of the family's 1533-position model. The record is from RNAcentral.